RNAcentral lists this ribosomal RNA (253 nucleotides) under uncultured bacterium. Its description in RNAcentral is "partial 16S ribosomal RNA". It matches the Rfam family "Bacterial small subunit ribosomal RNA", at positions 524 to 776 of the family's 1533-position model. The record is from RNAcentral.
UACGUAGGGUGCGAGCGUUAAUCGGAAUUACUGGGCGUAAAGCGUGCGCAGGCGGUUUUGUAAGCCAGGUGUGAAAUCCCCGGGCUCAACCUGGGAAUGGCAUUUGGGACUGCAAGGCUGGAGUGCGGCAGAGGAGACUGGAAUUCCUGGUGUAGCAGUGAAAUGCGUAGAUAUCAGGAGGAAUACCGAUGGCGAAGGCGGGUCUCUGGGCCGAUACUGACGCUGAGGAGCGAAAGCGUGGGGAGCGAACAGG